This is a non-coding RNA of Oncorhynchus mykiss (rainbow trout), 2648 nucleotides long. Lineage: Eukaryota; Metazoa; Chordata; Actinopteri; Salmoniformes; Salmonidae. The record is from RefSeq and is a predicted model, not a curated record.
UACUGUAGACCAGGGGCCUAUUCCCUAUAUAGUGCACUACUUUAGACCAGGGCCCUAUUCCCUAUAUAGUGCACUACUAUAGACCAGGCCUCAUGUCAAAAGUAGUGCCAGGAGAGAGACUUGAAUGAGGAUAUGAUCACGUCUCCCUACACCACGGAGUCUCUUCCGUAAGAAUGACUUGAGACGAGCGUUUUCGGGCCAUUUUGUUUUGUUUGUUUAUUUUCUUUGUCAUUCAGGCGACCAUAUUAUUUACCAACCGUCCAACCAAUGUAACCCCCCCUUUCACUUUUUUUUUAAUGCUGUGAAAAUGUUGAGAUGGAUCUUUUUGGCUGCUUGCUGUACAUACUGUACUGUAUUCAUGUCUUUUUAUAGAGACACCCAGCCUCCCAGAAUGACCUUUCAUUCUGUUUAACCAUUGGAGGGGUGAAUCUAAGAAUCUUAUGACAGUGGUUACCUUUGUCCUCUGUUCCGGAAUCCCAUUAUGACGUCAUUGAUUUGAAUCAAUUAGAAUGUUCAAACAGAAUGUUCUGUUGACAUUCCUUCAAAGGGGUUCAAGGAAUUCCAUUCUACAUUUACUUUUUUUUUACACAAAUGACUGCAGUUAAUCAUUGAAAAUCAUCAAUCAAUCAAAUGCAUUUAGAAUUAGAAUACACCACACAGUUCUACUUCUGAAGCCACUAGAACUCCUCUGUUAGAAAACAACGUUACGUUUCUCACAUACACAUAUAUACACUUGUCGUGGCUCGGCUCCAACACGCCUGGUAUCUUGACAUGGGGAAAGAGAACUGUGAGUGUUCAGAGAUCUGGCUGUUCCAUGACAUUCUAUUCUAGAAUUAGGAACGUUAUACAGUGCAGGACAUAGCUAGCUCUGGCUGUUGGCUUCUCGUUGUCUUUUUCUACAUGCUAUAUUUCUUUGCUUCCAGACGCACCACGAAGCUCACCUCCACCUGUCAGUCAGUGUAGAAACACUCUUUGCCUCAAAAACCAUGUAAAUGAUGUACUUCAAAACUUGUAAGCUCUUUUUAUAUCUCAUUAGGCGCAGGCACGCACCCAGACACACACACACACACACUUGGACUGGGGGUAAAGGCUUGGCAUCCAUCCCUGUACAGCAGUAAGAUAUUUCAUUUUGCGGCACUAAAGUGUGGAAACUGUCUGCUUCUCAAAUGGCACCCUGUUCCCUACUGUAUGUAGUGUACUACAAAAGAAGUGCACUACAUAGGGCAUAGCGGUUCAUUUGGGACACGUGCAAUAACUAUAGGAAGUGUCUUUGAGCAUAAUGCAAAUGACACCAAAUCAAACUGGAAAUGGUUUUGAUUUAAAAAUGUUUAAAAAAAAACGUUUUUUCAACUGACAUAACUGGCAUAAACCUUGAUCUACAGUAUGUGGAGGGCCAAGAGUUGUUCCUGACCAUGUGACCUGGCCCGGGAAAAAACCUCUGAGCCCAACUUAUAAAGCCUCUCUAUGACCCACGAUUCAAUCCGAUCGCUCUUUGUCCACAAUGCACGUUUUUUUUAAAGUCAAUGUUCACAGUAAAAUGUCGUCUCGGUCAGAAAUGACCUUUUUUUUUUUUAAAUGGCGCAUUGUCCAAAUCCCCCGGAGUCUAUAGGACGGGAUUCAGUCCCAUCUUCUAACUAUAGGGCCCCUUGUUGUCCAAAUCCCCCGGAGUCUAUAGGACGGGAUUCAGUCCCAUCUUCUAACUAUAGGGCCCCUUGUUGUCCAAAUCCUGCGGAGUCUAUAGGACGGGAUUCAGUCCCAUCUUCUAACUAUAGGGCCCCUUGUUGUCCAAAUCCUGCGGCGUCUAUAGGACGGGAUUCAGUCCCAUCUUCUAACUAUAGGGCCCCUUGUUGUCCAAAUCCUGCGGCGUCUAUAGGACGGGAUUCAGUCCCAUCUUCUAACUAUAGGGCCCCUUGUUGUUCCUGGUCAUGUGAUCAGGAUGGAGGAACUCCAGGCCUCACCCACACAGUAUGUGCCAACCAGUCAUAAUUAGUCAGUGUCCUUUCUUUUCGACGUCUGAAUGGACGGUCCCACGUUAGGCUGACAAGGAACCUAAAUACAGCUCAUUAAAAAAAUAACAUUUUUAAUAUUUUUUUUUUUUUACAUGUUUUGAAUGUCUGCACAAAGUGUAUUUUUAAUAAAUGAAACAAAAAUAAAAAUCCAAUUAUUACUCAAGCAUGUUAUAGGUUGUUGCAGGUUCCUUGUCUGUAAUUGAAAUUUACCUUUCAGUGCCAACAUAUGACAUGUAUUUACAGGGGACAACGACACAUUUGUUACCACAAGGUGACCAGACAAAUUAUAUAUAUAUUUUUUUUGUGGGGGGCUACGUCCCAAAUUGACAACUUACUCCCUAUAUAGUGGCCUACUUGUGAACAGGGCCCAUAAAGGCUCUGUUCAAAAUGCCCUGGUCAAGAGUAGUGCACUAUGUAGGGAAUGAAAACGGGUGCCAUUUGGGACAGAGCUCUUUUUUUAAUGAUCUUUAUAAUUAUUAUUUUUGUACAGUCGUGUUGCUCAACCACUGCAGUUCAUGUAAUUGUUGUACAAGUUGUAUCACUGGGUGUUACUGUGUCAUAUCUUCUGACAUUUGUAAUUAGUCCUGAGAAUACACUGCCGUUUUGGAUAAAAAAUAAUAAUAAUAACACAAAUCCUCC